This is a regulatory RNA element of 185 nucleotides. It matches the Rfam family "Lysine riboswitch aptamer". From Rfam's summary of the family: Riboswitches are metabolite binding domains within certain messenger RNAs that serve as precision sensors for their corresponding targets. The record is from Rfam.
AGAAAGGUUAGAGGUUGCGGGUGCUAAAAGUCACCGUCUGGAGAUAGUAAAGCGAUCUAUGAAUGACGGUAAAAGGAGUACUCGCCGAAGUGACACGUAGCUUUAUGACAUGUCGCUGGGUCUUAGUUUAAUAAGCUGAGAACCACUGCUUUUUGUUUGACAAAAGCGAAAGCGCUACCGUACGG